UGUUGGUAUCUUAGUGGCGGACGGGUGAGUAACGCGUGGGUAACCUGCCUUACACUGGGGGAUAACACUUAGAAAUAGGUGCUAAUACCGCAUAACAGGGAAAGAUGCAUGUCUUUUCCUUAAAAACUCCGGUGGUGUAAGAUGGACCCGCGUCUGAUUAGCUAGUUGGCGGGGUAACGGCCCACCAAGGCGACGAUCAGUAGCCGGCCUGAGAGGGUGAACGGCCACAUUGGGACUGAGACACGGCCCAAACUCCUACGGAAGGCAGCAG
This 271-nucleotide ribosomal RNA is filed under the name uncultured bacterium. RNAcentral's name for it is "partial 16S ribosomal RNA". It matches the Rfam family "Bacterial small subunit ribosomal RNA", at positions 82 to 354 of the family's 1533-position model. The record is from RNAcentral.